AUGGAAACAUUUGUCCCAUCUCAUCAGAUCCAGGAUCAACACCCCAUCUCAUCAGAUCCAGGUGAAGAGCUCCUGCACAGGGAUAUACAUGCAAGAAGAUCUGCUCUUUAUCCAUAUCUUUUCUGGCUCAUUAUAUUUUAUAAAACCCUGAGAGAGUCAGCUCCCAGGAAAUCCAGCCCAUGACAAGAGUGAGUGGUUGCAUCUCGUUUACCUUAAGCCAAGCCAGUGGUACUCCAGAGGACCCCUGGAGAGCUUGCUAUAUGUCUGCUGGAUUUGGGAAACACAAUGGACUCUGGUCCCCUAUGCCACAGAAAGCU
Molecule: long non-coding RNA, 317 nt
Filed under: Canis lupus familiaris (dog)
Lineage: Eukaryota; Metazoa; Chordata; Mammalia; Carnivora; Canidae
Description: lncRNA (ENSCAFG00030003171.1)
Source: RNAcentral